This 378-nucleotide ribosomal RNA is filed under the name uncultured bacterium. RNAcentral describes it as "bacterial SSU rRNA". It matches the Rfam family "Bacterial small subunit ribosomal RNA", at positions 129 to 507 of the family's 1533-position model. The record is from RNAcentral.
GCCCAAGGUAAGGAAUAACGUCGAGAAUCGGCGCUAAUACCUCAUAAUGCAGCGGAUCCGCAUGGAUAUGUUGUUAAAGGUUUACCGCCUUGGGAUAGGCUUGCGUCUGAUUAGCUAGUUGGUGUGGUAACGGCACACCAAGGCUACGAUCAGUAACUGGUCUGAGAGGAUGAUCAGUCACACUGGAACUGAGACACGGUCCAGACUCCUACGGGAGGCAGCAGUGAGGAAUAUUGGGCAAUGCUCGAAAGAGUGACCCAGCAACGCCGCGUGGAGGAUGAAGGUAUUCUAUAUCGUAAACUCCUGUGAGAGCAGACGAAAGACAGAUUAUUAAUCUGGAUGGCUGUAUGCUCAGAGGAAGCCCCGGCUAACUACGUG